Molecule: long non-coding RNA, 725 nt
Filed under: Mytilus galloprovincialis (Mediterranean mussel)
Lineage: Eukaryota; Metazoa; Mollusca; Bivalvia; Mytilida; Mytilidae
Source: RNAcentral
GGUCUAUGAUAUUUAGAUUACACAAGGUAAAGGUACAUUUGGUUACAAUAUUUACUCAGCAUGUAAAAAGUAUAUAGGUUAUCUACAUUUUGAAAUUGUUACCAACAUGGUCACAUUUUCCUACACAUUAUCAACAUCAAUAUGCUCAUACAGGUGUAGUUUCAAUAACCUAAUUUUAGGUCACAAUGACCUAUUCUACAUGGAUACUGAGAGACUACAAUAAUGCAUAUAUAUACCUAUAUUCAAUUUUACAUGACCCUUGUACAUUUACUUGCCGAAAUACUUGAGGUCACCCCCUAUAUAAUCACAAGUUUUGACUAUUUUGUCCCAAAUGUCAAGUCUUCCUCAUAAAAAAUACAAAAAUUGUUGAGGUGGUUGAACUAAAAAUAUUCAAUCCCUUUCAAAACUUGAAGAAGUCUGUUCAUUCAUUCAGGAUUUCCUGUCUAAUGGUAGAUUUUGGUUUCCCUCCUUGCUUCUAGAUCAUCCUCUAGGUGUUUGUUUUGUUUACACAUUCUAGAAAAGAAGCUUGUUACUUGCUGUACAGACAAUAUCUCAUCAUAAGCAAACCUCCUUGUGCCAUCAGAAUUUUUGACAUGCAGCAUAUUCUCUGAAACAUUGAAGGGAUCUUCCUUUCUUCCCGUUUUGAGACCUAGCUUUGUCCAAUUUUUCAGUUAAGUAGUCUUUAUGGUUUUAAUUAAAGCGCUUGGAAUUUCUUUCUGUCUUGA